UACAGAGGGCUCAAGCGUUGUUCGGAUUCAUUGUGCGUAAAGGGUGCGUAGGCGGCGCGGUAAGUCGGGUGUGAAAUCUUGGAGCUUAACUCCGAAACUGCAUUCGAUACUGCCGUGCUUGAGGACUGGAGAGGAGACUGGAAUUCAUGGUGUAGCAGUGAAAUGCGUAGAUAUCAGGAGGAACACCAAGUGCGAAGGCAGCUCGCUGGGACGUUACUGACGCUGAGACGCGAAAGCGUGGGGAGCAAACAGG
This 253-nucleotide ribosomal RNA is filed under the name uncultured bacterium. RNAcentral describes it as "partial 16S ribosomal RNA". It matches the Rfam family "Bacterial small subunit ribosomal RNA", at positions 524 to 776 of the family's 1533-position model. The record is from RNAcentral.